This 263-nucleotide unclassified non-coding RNA is filed under the name uncultured Hypocreales. RNAcentral describes it as "sequence contains ITS2". The stretch from base 1 to 52 matches the Rfam family "5.8S ribosomal RNA", at positions 103 to 154 of the family's 154-position model. The record is from RNAcentral. Lineage: Eukaryota; Fungi; Ascomycota; Sordariomycetes; Hypocreales.
AACGCACAUUGCGCCCGCCAGUAUUCUGGCGGGCAUGCCUGUCUGAGCGUCAUUUCAACCCUCAGCCCCCGUCCGCGGGGCGCUGGCGUUGGGGAUCGGCCGUCCUUGCGGCGGCCGGCCCCGAAACACAGUGGCGGUCUCCCGUAGACUCCCCUGCGUAGUAACACUACCUCGCAGAAGGGACGAGCGGGCUGGCCACGCCGUAAAACCCCCCACUUCUCAAGGUUGACCUCAGAUCAGGUAGGAAUACCCGCUGAACUUAA